GACGAACGCUGGCGGCGCGCUUAACACAUGCAAGUCGAACGGAGUUUUUUAGAAUGAAGUUUUCGGAUGGAAUUUUUUAAAACUUAGUGGCGGACGGGUGAGUAACACGUGAGCAACCUGCCUUUCAGAGGGGGAUAACGGGCUGGAAACGGUCGCUAAUACCGCAUAACGUUGCGAUAGGGACCAUCCUAAGUGCUAACCAAAGGAGCAAUCCGCUGAAAGAU
Molecule: ribosomal RNA, 224 nt
Filed under: uncultured bacterium
Lineage: Bacteria
Description: partial 16S ribosomal RNA
Rfam family: Bacterial small subunit ribosomal RNA
Source: RNAcentral